UACAGAGGGUGCAAGCGUUAAUCGGAAUUACUGGGCGUAAAGCGUGCGUAGACGGUUAUGUAAGUCAGAUGUGAAAGCCCCGGGCUCAACCUGGGAAUUGCAUUUGAGACUGCAUAGCUAGGGUGCGGAAGAGGGAAGCGGAAUUUCCGGUGUAGCGGUGAAAUGCGUAGAUAUCGGAAGGAACACCAGUGGCGAAAGCUGCUUCCUGGUCCAGCACCGACGUUCAGGCACGAAAGCGUGGGGAGCAAACAGG
This 253-nucleotide ribosomal RNA is filed under the name uncultured bacterium. RNAcentral's name for it is "partial 16S ribosomal RNA". It matches the Rfam family "Bacterial small subunit ribosomal RNA", at positions 524 to 776 of the family's 1533-position model. The record is from RNAcentral.